RNAcentral lists this ribosomal RNA (497 nucleotides) under uncultured bacterium. Its description in RNAcentral is "partial 16S ribosomal RNA". It matches the Rfam family "Bacterial small subunit ribosomal RNA", at positions 28 to 507 of the family's 1533-position model. The record is from RNAcentral.
GAUGAACGCUGGCGGCGUGCCUAAUACAUGCAAGUCGAGCGGACAGACGAGGAGCUUGCUCCUCUGACGUUAGCGGCGGACGGGUGAGUAACACGUGGAUAACCUACCUAUAAGACUGGGAUAACUUCGGGAAACCGGAGCUAAUACCGGAUAAUAUAUUGAACCGCAUGGUUCAAUAGUGAAAGACGGUUUUGCUGUCACUUAUAGAUGGAUCCGCGCCGCAUUAGCUAGUUGGUAAGGUAACGGCUUACCAAGGCAACGAUGCGUAGCCGACCUGAGAGGGUGAUCGGCCACACUGGAACUGAGACACGGUCCAGACUCCUACGGGAGGCAGCAGUAGGGAAUCUUCCGCAAUGGGCGAAAGCUUGACGGAGCAACGCCGCGUGAGUGAUGAAGGUCUUCGGAUCGUAAAACUCUGUUAUUAGGGAAGAACAAAUGUGUAAGUAGCUAUGCACGUCUUGACGGUACCUAAUCAGAAAGCCACGGCUAACUACGUG